This 72-nucleotide transfer RNA is filed under the name Camelus bactrianus (Bactrian camel). It matches the Rfam family "tRNA". Rfam says of the family: Transfer RNA (tRNA) molecules are approximately 80 nucleotides in length. Their secondary structure includes four short double-helical elements and three loops (D, anti-codon, and T loops). RNAcentral also lists the same sequence under 3 other names. Lineage: Eukaryota; Metazoa; Chordata; Mammalia; Artiodactyla; Camelidae. The record is from Rfam by way of RNAcentral.
GAGGGUAUAGUUCAGUGGUAGAGUGCAUGCUUAGCAUGCACAAGGUCCUGGGUUCAAUCCCUAGUACUUCCA